UGGUCAAGUUAUUAAGGGUGCAGGGCGGAUGCCUUGGCACUAGGAGCCGAUGAAGGACGUGAUAAGCUGCGAUAAGCUUCGGGGAGUUGCACGUAAACUUUGAUCCGAAGAUUUCCGAAUGAGGAAACUCACUUAGAGUAAUGUCUAAGUAUCAUUAAGUGAAUACAUAGCUUAAUGAGGGGAACUCAGGGAACUGAAACAUCUACGUACCUGAAGGAAGAGAAAGAAAUUCGAUUCCGUAAGUAGCGGCGAGCGAACGCGGAUUAGCCCAAACCAAUAAAGUUUUCUUUAUUGGGGUUGAGGACAUACCACAUAUAAGAGGUCAUUAUAGACGAAGAAGUUUGGAAAAACUCAUCAUAGAAGGUAAUAAUCCUGUAGCCAAAAUAAUAAUUCUUUAGGUAUGAUCCAGAGUACCACGGGACACGUGAAACCCUGUGGGAAGCAGGAGGGACCACCCUCCAAGGCUAAAUACUACCUAGUGACCGAUAGCGUAUAGUACCGUGAGGGAAAGGUGAAAAGAACCCCGGGAGGGGAGUGAAAUAGAACCUGAAACCCUGCACUUACAAGCUGUGGAAGCACAUUUCUUGUGUGACCGCGUACUUUUUGUAGAACGGGCCAACGAGUUACGUUAAGUAGCAAGGUUAAGCACUUAAGGUGUGGAGCCGUAGCGAAAGCGAGUUUUAACUGAGCGUUCAGUUACUUGACGUAGACCCGAAACCGGGCGACCUACCCAUGAGCAGGAUGAAGCGAAAGUAAAAUUUCGUGGAGGUCCGAACCCACGAGCGUUGAAAAGCUCGGGGAUGACUUGUGGGUAGCGGUGAAAUUCCAAUCGAGCCCGGAGAUAGCUGGUUCUCCCCGAAAUAGCUUUAGGGCUAGCCUCAAGGUGAGAGAUACGGAGGUAGAGCACUGAAUGUCCUAGGGGGUAUUGCACCUACCGAAGACUAUCAAACUCCGAAUGCCGUCAUCUUAUACUUGGGAGUCAGACUGUGGGUGAUAAGAUUCAUAGUCGAAAGGGCAACAGCCCAGAUCGUCAGCUAAGGUCCCUAAAUGUAAGUUAAGUGGUAAAGGAUGUGGGAUUGCACAGACAACCAGGAUGUUGGCUUAGAAGCAGCCACUCAUUCAAAGAGUGCGUAAUAGCUCACUGGCCGAGUGCUCCUGCGCCGAAGAUUUCCGGGGCUAAAACUUAC
Molecule: ribosomal RNA, 1187 nt
Filed under: Clostridioides difficile
Lineage: Bacteria; Bacillati; Bacillota; Clostridia; Peptostreptococcales; Peptostreptococcaceae
Description: bacterial LSU rRNA
Rfam family: Bacterial large subunit ribosomal RNA
Source: RNAcentral